GAUGAACGCUGGCGGCGUGCCUAAUACAUGCAAGUCGAGCGAACGGACGAGAAGCUUGCUUUUCUGAUGUUAGCGGCGGACGGGUGAGUAACACGUGGAUAACCUACCUAUAAGACUGGGAUAACUUCGGGAAACCGGAGCUAAUACCGGAUAAUAUUUUGAACCGCAUGGUUCAAAAGUGAAAGACGGUCUUGCUGUCACUUAUAGAUGGAUCCGCGCUGCAUUAGCUAGUUGGUAAGGUAACGGCUUACCAAGGCAACGAUGCAUAGCCGACCUGAGAGGGUGAUCGGCCACACUGGAACUGAGACACGGUCCAGACUCCUACGGGAGGCAGCAGUAGGGAAUCUUCCGCAAUGGGCGAAAGCCUGACGGAGCAACGCCGCGUGAGUGAUGAAGGUCUUCGGAUCGUAAAACUCUGUUAUUAGGGAAGAACAUAUGUGUAAGUAACUGUGCACAUCUUGACGGUACCUAAUCAGAAAGCCACGGCUAACUACGUGCCAGCAGCCGCGGUAAUACGUAGGUGGCAAGCGUUAUCCGGAAUUAUUGGGCGUAAAGCGCGCGUAGGCGGUUUUUUAAGUCUGAUGUGAAAGCCCACGGCUCAACCGUGGAGGGUCAUUGGAAACUGGAAAACUUGAGUGCAGAAGAGGAAAGUGGGAUUCCAUGUGUAGCGGUGAAAUGCGCAGAGAUGUGGAGGAACACCAGUGGCGAAGGCGACUUUCUGGUCUGUAACUGACGCUGAUGUGCGAAAGCGUGGGGAUCAAACAGGAUUAGAUACCCUGGUAGUCCACGCCGUAAACGAUGAGUGCUAAGUGUUAGGGGGUUUCCGCCCCUUAGUGCUGCAGCUAACGCAUUAAGCACUCCGCCUGGGGAGUACGACCGCAAGGUUGAAACUCAAAGGAAUUGACGGGGGCCCGCACAAGCGGUGGAGCAUGUGGUUUAAUUCGAGGCAACGCGAAGAACCUUACCAAAUCUUGACAUCCUUUGACAACUCUAGAGAUAGAGCCUUCCCCUUCGGGGGACAAAGUGACAGGUGGUGCAUGGUUGUCGUCAGCUCGUGUCGUGAGAUGUUGGGUUAAGUCCCGCAGCGAGCGCAACCCUUAAGCUUAGUUGCCAUCAUUAAGUUGGGCACUCUAAGUUGACUGCCGGUGACAAACCGGAGGAAGGUGGGGAUGACGUCAAAUCAUCAUGCCCCUUAUGAUUUGGGCUACACACGUGCUACAAUGGACAAUACAAAGGGCAGCGAAACCGCGAGGUCAAGCAAAUCCCAUAAAGUUGUUCUCAGUUCGGAUUGUAGUCUGCAACUCGACUACAUGAAGCUGGAAUCGCUAGUAAUCGUAGAUCAGCAUGCUACGGUGAAUACGUUCCCGGGUCU
This 1372-nucleotide ribosomal RNA is filed under the name uncultured bacterium. RNAcentral describes it as "bacterial SSU rRNA". It matches the Rfam family "Bacterial small subunit ribosomal RNA", at positions 28 to 1381 of the family's 1533-position model. The record is from RNAcentral.